Molecule: ribosomal RNA, 265 nt
Filed under: uncultured prokaryote
Description: partial 16S ribosomal RNA
Rfam family: Bacterial small subunit ribosomal RNA
Source: RNAcentral
CACGUAGGGGCGAGCGUUGUCCGGAAUUACUGGGCGUAAAGGGCGCGCAGGCUGUUAUGCGAGUCUGCUGUGAAAUGUACCGGCUCAACCGGUGCCUUGCGGCGGAUACUGCAUAGCUGGAGUACUGGAGAGGGAAGUGGAAUUCCCGGUGUAGUGGUGAAAUGCGUAGAUAUCGGGAGGAACACCGGUGGCGAAGGCGGCUUUCUGGCCUAUUAUUGACGCUGAGGCUCGAAAGCAUGGGUAGCAAACAGGAUUAGAUACCCGU